CAGUCCCAGAAGGAGUCAUCCAACUCUUCAAGCAAGUAAUCUGUAUUGGAUGUUCCCGUCAAGUCCGUGGCUUGGGGAGAAGAUUACAAUGAGACAGAUUGAAGUCACAACCAUAUACAGGCUGGGUGAGAGAAGAUAUCGUCCUAUUAUCUUGAAGGAGGCCUUCACAAUCACUUGAAUUCAAAUGUAUUCUUUUAGCCUUCCCUGUUCAAAACCAACAUAGUGAAAUUAUACAAUAGCAUAUUAAAAAACGUAAGACACAUGGAGUAAAGUUAUGAGGAAAAAAGACUGAUUAUUUUAGUAAUAUAUCUACUUUAGAUGUUGGCAUGAACAGAAUUUUUGUAACAUGUACCAAAAAAGAAGCAUAUUAAAAAUCAUUGUUAAUAUGAAUCACAAACAUUUUAUAUGUAAAGAACAUGCUGCUAACUCACUAACAACCUUAAGGGUAACAAAUAAAACAGUAUGUAUCAGUAUAUAACACCAAUAUUUAAAAUUCACGAUAGGCCCAGACAUUAAGCUUCAGAAGAAACCUUUUUAUGUUGGACUGUUUUUAUGAACUUCAUUACUUCUGGCCCUUUACUUACAUCAACAUUUGGACAUUAAGUUCUUACUAUUUUCCUGUCUAUUUUUUCCUGUUUUGAAAUAACUAUAAAAUGUGUUAUAUUUUGCAAUAUACCUGCUGAACCUUUCAUCUUCAAAAGUAUUUUGAAGAUGUACAUUGUUUCAAGUAUUUGAUAUAUAUUGUGGUGAACUGCUCUUUGUGAUACUUUUUCAGACUGCUGAUAUAACCUGUGUAAGUUAAUUACAAUAGUCCUAUGAGCUUCUUUGACCUACCUAAGCUUGUGCAAUCAAUAUGGGCAUCUGUAUGCACUAAUUAACCCUUAACGUGUAUGCUAAAAGAAAGGAAAAAGAGACAAAAAUGAAAAAAAAAAUGCCUGAAGAAGAUUUGGCACAAAUGGAAAAACUAUAAAAAUAUUGCAGCUAAUUCAACAUCAAAAGCCUAAUUGUGUCUAUUCUAAAACAGAUUAGAAGAGCAGACAAUUGUACCACUAUUUCAGUAUGCUUUUACACAUAUGGGAGAAAACAACUGCCAAGAAUUAACAUGGCUGUGCUCCUGUAUGGUGUCACAACAGCACAGCCACUUUGGAUCCCUGCUCUCUCUUUUCUAGGAGACAACCUUGACAUUAUAUUUGGAAGUGCUUAAAAAAAAAAAAAAAAAAAAAAAAAAAAAAUAUUAUAUAUAUA
Erpetoichthys calabaricus (reedfish) is the source of this 1245-nucleotide long non-coding RNA. RefSeq lists it as uncharacterized. The transcript is spliced from 2 exons. NCBI's taxonomy places the organism in Eukaryota, Metazoa, Chordata, Cladistia, Polypteriformes, Polypteridae. The record is from RefSeq and is a predicted model, not a curated record.